RNAcentral lists this ribosomal RNA (460 nucleotides) under uncultured bacterium. RNAcentral describes it as "partial 16S ribosomal RNA". It matches the Rfam family "Bacterial small subunit ribosomal RNA", at positions 338 to 795 of the family's 1533-position model. The record is from RNAcentral.
CCUACGGGAGGCAGCAGUGAGGAAUAUUGGUCAAUGGACGCAAGUCUGAACCAGCCAUGCCGCGUGCAGGAUGACGGCCCUAUGAGUUGUAAACUGCUUUUGUACGGGAGUAAACGCAGACACGUGUAUCUGUCUGCAAGUACCUUACGAAUAAGGAUCGGCUAACUCCGUGCCAGCAGCCGCGGUAAUACGGAGGAUUCAAGCGUUAUCCGGAUUUAUUGGGUUUAAAGGGUGCGUAGGCGGUCGGAUAAGUUAGAGGUGAAAUCGCGGGGCUCAACGUCGGAAUUGCCUCUGAUACUGUCCGUCUAGAGAGUAGUUGCGGUAGGCGGAAUGUGUGGUGUAGCGGUGAAAUGCUUAGAGAUCAUACAGAACACCGAUUGCGAAGGCAGCUUACCAAGCUACGACUGACGUUGAGGCACGAAAGCGUGGGGAGCAAACAGGAUUAGAUACCCUGGUAGUC